This 222-nucleotide ribosomal RNA is filed under the name Triticum aestivum (bread wheat). Its description in RNAcentral is "partial small subunit ribosomal RNA". The record is from RNAcentral. Lineage: Eukaryota; Viridiplantae; Streptophyta; Magnoliopsida; Poales; Poaceae.
CUAAAGUUCACAUGUGUGCCUCCUGGCUGGGAAGGAUCAACACAUGAUGCUAACAUUCUAAGUGACAGCAUGAGUAGGCCUAAUGGCAUCAAUAUCCCCAAUGACAAGUUCUACCUAGGAGACGCGGGCUAUGCAUGUCAGCCAGGUGUUCUUCCACCCUUAAGGAAAAGCAAGUACCAUCUAAAUAAGUUCCCUGGUAGGAACUAUCUUAGGGUCCCAUAA